This 299-nucleotide long non-coding RNA is filed under the name Salvia miltiorrhiza (redroot sage). Its description in RNAcentral is "long non-coding RNA (SMIL_LNC003891)". The record is from RNAcentral. Lineage: Eukaryota; Viridiplantae; Streptophyta; Magnoliopsida; Lamiales; Lamiaceae.
UCAAUUCUCGUUUGUAAGAAUUUCAAAUGAACUAAAACAAAUCAAGAAAGAACAAGACAAGUAAAAUUCACCAAACUUCAGCCCUUGGAUGCAAGAAUUGAUAUUUUGGAACAAGUGUAUGAAACUCCUAAGGAAAAUUGAAGUGAAAUAGAAAUUUUGGAUUUUUUUUUUGGAUAUAUAUAUAUUUUUUUUCGUUUUUUUUUAGUUUAUAUGAAGUAACAACAAUGGAAAACAAAAGGAUAUUGGAACUUUGCAGAUUUUUUUUUUUUUUUUUUGUCAACUAUUUUUGUAGGACAAUG